GUAAUCUAAAGAAAGACAAGCUCAAUGGCUGCAGUAUUCCUGACUGUAUUAAGGUAGCACAAUCAAUUGCCGCUUAAUUGGCGGAUAGUAUGAAUGGUAAAACGAAGAUUCCACUGUCUCAAAUGAAAAUUUUAAAAAAUUAAAAUAAUAGUUAAGAUGCUAUUUAUAAUCGUAAGACGAUAAGACCCUAUAAAGCUUAACUACAUUUUUCUAUAAAAAAAAUGGAAGAAAGGUAGUUUACUUGGGGCAAGGACUUUUUAAACUCAAAGAAAGUAAACAAAACAAAUAAAACGUUUAUUGUAUAAAUUAUAAUUUUAACAAUCACAAUGUGGGUUAUAAUGACCCGUUAAUAUUACUAAAAAAAAUUAACGAUUAUUAAAUAAAAGCUACUUUAGGGAUAACAGGAUAAUUUUAUCAAAGAGUUCCUAUCGCUGAUAAAGUUUGUCACCUCGAUGUUGAAUUAAGAUAACCUGGCAGAGCAGAAUCUGCCUAAGGUGGGUCUGUUCGACCCUUAAAUAUCUUACAUGAUUU
Molecule: ribosomal RNA, 531 nt
Filed under: Sibogella spissa
Lineage: Eukaryota; Metazoa; Cnidaria; Hydrozoa; Leptothecata; Plumulariidae
Description: partial large subunit ribosomal RNA
Rfam family: Bacterial large subunit ribosomal RNA
Source: RNAcentral